RNAcentral lists this ribosomal RNA (431 nucleotides) under uncultured bacterium. Its description in RNAcentral is "partial 16S ribosomal RNA". It matches the Rfam family "Bacterial small subunit ribosomal RNA", at positions 338 to 795 of the family's 1533-position model. The record is from RNAcentral.
CCUACGGGAGGCAGCAGUAAGGAAUAUUGGUCAAUGGACGGAAGUCUGAACCAGCCAUGCCGCGUGCAGGAAGACGGCCUACGGGUUGUAAACUGCUUUUGCAGGGGAAUAUGUACUCUGAGAAUAAGGAUCGGCUAACUCCGUGCCAGCAGCCGCGGUAAUACGGAGGAUCCAAGCGUUAUCCGGAUUUAUUGGGUUUAAAGGGUGCGUAGGUGGCUUUUUAAGUCAGGGGUGAAAGACGGUAGCUUAACUAUCGCAGUGCCUUUGAUACUGAAGAGCUUGAAUAAACUAGAGGUAGGCGGAAUGUGACAAGUAGCGGUGAAAUGCAUAGAUAUGUCACAGAACACCAAUUGCGAAGGCAGCUUACUAUGUUUAUUGACACUGAGGCACGAAAGCGUGGGGAUCAAACAGGAUUAGAUACCCUUGUAGUC